RNAcentral lists this ribosomal RNA (686 nucleotides) under uncultured bacterium. Its description in RNAcentral is "bacterial SSU rRNA". It matches the Rfam family "Bacterial small subunit ribosomal RNA", at positions 54 to 733 of the family's 1533-position model. The record is from RNAcentral.
CAUGCAAGUCGAACGAAGAUACUUAAAAUGAGAGCUUCGGCAGGAUUUUUAUUUAUCUUAGUGGCGGACGGGUGAGUAACGUGUGGGCAACCUGCCCUAUACUGGGGAAUAAUCACUGGAAACGGUGACUAAUACCGCAUGUCAUUACGGAAGGGCAUCCUUCUGUAAGAAAAGGAGUAAUUCGGUAUAGGAUGGGCCCGCAUCUGAUUAGCUAGUUGGUGAGAUAACAGCCCACCAAGGCGACGAUCAGUAGCCGACCUGAGAGGGUGAUCGGCCACAUUGGGACUGAGACACGGCCCAAACUCCUACGGGAGGCAGCAGUGGGGAAUAUUGCACAAUGGGGGAAACCCUGAUGCAGCAACGCCGCGUGAAGGAAGAAGGUUUUCGGAUCGUAAACUUCUAUCAACAGGGACGAAGAAAGUGACGGUACCUGAAUAAGAAGCCCCGGCUAACUACGUGCCAGCAGCCGCGGUAAUACGUAGGGGGCAAGCGUUAUCCGGAAUUACUGGGUGUAAAGGGAGCGUAGGCGGCACGCCAAGCCAGAUGUGAAAGCCCGAGGCUUAACCUCGUGGAUUGCAUUUGGAACUGGCGAGCUAGAGUACAGGAGAGGAAAGCGGAAUUCCUAGUGUAGCGGUGAAAUGCGUAGAUAUUAGGAAGAACACCAGUGGCGAAGGCGGCUUUCUGGA